Molecule: ribosomal RNA, 960 nt
Filed under: Geitlerinema sp. NM-SA4
Lineage: Bacteria; Bacillati; Cyanobacteriota; Cyanophyceae; Geitlerinematales; Geitlerinemataceae
Description: bacterial SSU rRNA
Rfam family: Bacterial small subunit ribosomal RNA
Source: RNAcentral
UGAGUAACGCGUGAGAACCUGCCUCGAGGAGGGGGAUAACAGCGGGAAACGGCUGCUAAUACCCCAUAUGCCGAAAGGUGAAAAGAAAUUUGCCUUGAGAGGGGCUCGCGUCCGAUUAGCUAGUUGGUGAGGUAAGAGCUUACCAAGGCGACGAUCGGUAGCUGGUCUGAGAGGAUGAGCAGCCACACUGGGACUGAGACACGGCCCAGACUCCUACGGGAGGCAGCAGUGGGGAAUUUUCCGCAAUGGGCGAAAGCCUGACGGAGCAACGCCGCGUGGGGGAAGAAGGCCUUUGGGUUGUAAACUCCUUUUCUCAGGGAAGAAGUUCUGACGGUACCUGAGGAAUCAGCCUCGGCUAACUCCGUGCCAGCAGCCGCGGUAAUACGGAGGAGGCAAGCGUUAUCCGGAAUUAUUGGGCGUAAAGCGUUCGUAGGCGGCAUUUCAAGUCUGCUGUCAAAGGCCGAGGCUCAACUUCGGAAAGGCAGUGGAAACUGAAAAGCUAGAGGUCGGUAGGGGCAGAGGGAAUUCCCAGUGUAGCGGUGAAAUGCGUAGAUAUUGGGAAGAACACCGGUGGCGAAAGCGCUCUGCUGGGCCGAACCUGACGCUGAGGGACGAAAGCUAGGGGAGCGAAUGGGAUUAGAUACCCCAGUAGUCCUAGCCGUAAACGAUGGAGACUAGGUGUUGCCUGUAUCGACCCGGGCAGUGCCGAAGCCAACGCGUUAAGUCUCCCGCCUGGGGAGUACGCACGCAAGUGUGAAACUCAAAGGAAUUGACGGGGGCCCGCACAAGCGGUGGAGUAUGUGGUUUAAUUCGAUGCAACGCGAAGAACCUUACCAGGGCUUGACAUCCCGCGAAUCUCGGCGAAAGUUGAGAGUGCCUACGGGAACGCGGAGACAGGUGGUGCAUGGCUGUCGUCAGCUCGUGUCCUGAGAUGUUGGGUUAAUUCCCGCAACGAACGCA